CCUACGGGUGGCAGCAGUGGGGAAUAUUGGACAAUGGGCGAAAGCCUGAUCCAGCCAUGCCGCGUGUGUGAAGAAGGCCUUCGGGUUGUAAAGCACUUUCAGUGGGGAAGAAAGCCUUGGGGCUAAUACCCUCGAGGAAGGACAUCACCCACAGAAGAAGCACCGGCUAACUCCGUGCCAGCAGCCGCGGUAAUACAGAGGGUGCGAGCGUUAAUCGGAAUUACUGGGCGUAAAGCGCGCGUAGGCGGUCUGAUAAGCCGGUUGUGAAAGCCCCGGGCUCAACCUGGGAACGGCAUCCGGAACUGUCAGGCUAGAGUGCAGGAGAGGAAGGUAGAAUUCCCGGUGUAGCGGUGAAAUGCGUAGAGAUCGGGAGGAAUACCAGUGGCGAAGGCGGCCUUCUGGACUGACACUGACGCUGAGGUGCGAAAGCGUGGGUAGCAAACAGGAUUAGAUACCCGAGUAGUC
RNAcentral lists this ribosomal RNA (465 nucleotides) under Vreelandella stevensii. RNAcentral describes it as "partial 16S ribosomal RNA". It matches the Rfam family "Bacterial small subunit ribosomal RNA", at positions 338 to 795 of the family's 1533-position model. Lineage: Bacteria; Pseudomonadati; Pseudomonadota; Gammaproteobacteria; Oceanospirillales; Halomonadaceae. The record is from RNAcentral.